UCUCUGGUGGUCUAGUGGUUAAGACUCCGUGCUUCCACUGCAGGGGGCAUAGGUUUGAUCCCUGGUCAGGGAA
Bos taurus (domestic cattle) is the source of this 73-nucleotide non-coding RNA. The record is from Rfam. NCBI's taxonomy places the organism in Eukaryota, Metazoa, Chordata, Mammalia, Artiodactyla, Bovidae.